RNAcentral lists this ribosomal RNA (253 nucleotides) under uncultured bacterium. RNAcentral's name for it is "partial 16S ribosomal RNA". It matches the Rfam family "Bacterial small subunit ribosomal RNA", at positions 524 to 776 of the family's 1533-position model. The record is from RNAcentral.
UACGGGGGGGGCAAGCGUUGUUCGGAAUUACUGGGCGUAAAGGGCUCGUAGGCGGCCAACUAAGUCAGACGUGAAAUCCCUCGGCUUAACCGGGGAACUGCGUCUGAUACUGGAUGGCUUGAGUUUGGGAGAGGGAUGCGGAAUUCCAGGUGUAGCGGUGAAAUGCGUAGAUAUCUGGAGGAACACCGGUGGCGAAGGCGGCUUCCUGGACCGACACUGACGCUGAGGCGCGAAAGCUAGGGGAGCAAACGGG